AUUGAACGCUGGCGGCAGGCUUAACACAUGCAAGUCGAGCGGGGUGAUGGUGCUUGCACUAUCACUUAGCGGCGGACGGGUGAGUAAUGCUUAGGAAUCUGCCUGUUAGUGGGGGACAACAUCUCGAAAGGGAUGCUAAUACCGCAUACGUCCUACGGGAGAAAGCAGGGGAUCACUUGUGACCUUGCGCUAAUAGAUGAGCCUAAGUCGGAUUAGCUAGUUGGUGGGGUAAAGGCCUACCAAGGCGACGACCUGUAGCGGGUCUGAGAGGAUGAUCCGCCAAACUGGGACUGCGACACGGACCAGACUCCUACGGGAGGCAGCAGUGGGGAAUAUUGGACAAUGGGGGGAACCCUGAUCCAGCCAUGCCGCGUGUGUGAAGAAGGCCUUAUGGUUGUAAAGCACUUUAAGCGAGGAGGAGGCUCUUUUGGUUAAUACCCAAGAUGAGUGGACGUUACUCGCAGAAUAAGCACCGGCUAACUCUUUGCCAGCCGCCGCGGUAA
Molecule: ribosomal RNA, 503 nt
Filed under: uncultured bacterium
Lineage: Bacteria
Description: partial 16S ribosomal RNA
Rfam family: Bacterial small subunit ribosomal RNA
Source: RNAcentral